GACGAACGCUGGCGGCGUGCUUAACACAUGCAAGUCGAACGGGAUCCAUGUUGUAGCAAUACUUCGGAAGAUCUAGUGGCGAACGGGUGAGGAACACGUGAGAAACCUGCCCCGAACUUCGGGACAACAGUUGGAAACGAAUGCUAAUACCGAAUACCUCUGCGAAGUGGCAUCACUUUGCAAAGAAAGAAUUUCGGUUCGGGAGGGUCGCGCGGCCUAUCAGCUAGUUGGUGGGGUAACGGCCUACCAAGGCAUCGACGGGUAGCUGGUCUGAGAGGAUGAUCAGCCACACUGGGACUGAGACACGGCCCAGACUCCUACGGGAGGCAGCAGUGGGGAGUCUUGUGCAAUGGGCGAAAGCCUGACACAGCAACGCCGCGUGCGGGAAUAAGGCCUUCGGGUCGUAAACCGCUUUCAGCAGGAACGAAAAUGACGGUACCUGCAGAAGAAGGUGCGGCCAACUACGUGCCAGCCGCCGCAGUAA
RNAcentral lists this ribosomal RNA (484 nucleotides) under uncultured bacterium. Its description in RNAcentral is "partial 16S ribosomal RNA". It matches the Rfam family "Bacterial small subunit ribosomal RNA", at positions 28 to 523 of the family's 1533-position model. The record is from RNAcentral.